UUUCCGUAGGUGAACCUGCGGAAGGAUCAUUAUUGUAUAACCACGGUGCGAGGACCGUGGCUGACCAAAGAGGUCUUGCACUCCCGAGUGCACUCACAAACCUCCAUCCAACCCCUAUGUGCACCACCUCGUGGGUUCCCCUUUGGCUUGUUCGGAGGGGGGCUUACGUUUUGACACAAACUUUGUAUGCCGUGUAGACUAUAUUUAUUGUUUUUUCUAUACCGCGAUCAUAACCACUUUCAACAACGUAUAUCUUGGCUCUCACAUCGAUGAAGAAUG
This 279-nucleotide unclassified non-coding RNA is filed under the name plant metagenome. RNAcentral describes it as "partial contains small subunit ribosomal RNA, internal transcribed spacer 1, and 5.8S ribosomal RNA". The record is from RNAcentral.